This is a long non-coding RNA of Melanotaenia boesemani (Boeseman's rainbowfish), 118 nucleotides long. RefSeq lists it as uncharacterized. The transcript has 4 exons. The record is from RefSeq and is a predicted model, not a curated record. NCBI's taxonomy places the organism in Eukaryota, Metazoa, Chordata, Actinopteri, Atheriniformes, Melanotaeniidae.
GUGCCGGUGUUCUGUCAGUUUAGCAUGCGCAUCAGAGUAGCAUACAUUACGUUAAUGCGCAUGCGGGUUAGGGUUAUGUGCAGGCACUAUGCCAGUUUCGGUUAGGGUCAGGGUUUUA